Molecule: ribosomal RNA, 247 nt
Filed under: uncultured Oscillospiraceae bacterium
Lineage: Bacteria; Bacillati; Bacillota; Clostridia; Eubacteriales; Oscillospiraceae
Description: partial 16S ribosomal RNA
Rfam family: Bacterial small subunit ribosomal RNA
Source: RNAcentral
AGUGGCGGACGGGUGAGUAACGCGUGAGCAACCUGCCUUUCAGAGGGGGAUAACAUUUGGAAACAGAUGCUAAUACCGCAUAAGAUUACAGUACCGCAUGAUACAGUGAUCAAAGGAGCAAUCCGCUGAAAGAUGGGCUCGCGUCCGAUUAGAUAGUUGGUGAGGUAACGGCUCACCAAGUCGACGAUCGGUAGCCGGACUGAGAGGUUGAACGGCCACAUUGGGACUGAGACACGGCCCAGACUCC